This 613-nucleotide ribosomal RNA is filed under the name uncultured bacterium. RNAcentral's name for it is "bacterial SSU rRNA". The stretch from base 1 to 521 matches the Rfam family "Bacterial small subunit ribosomal RNA", at positions 338 to 873 of the family's 1533-position model. The record is from RNAcentral.
CCUACGGGAGGCAGCAGUGGGGAAUCUUGCGCAAUGGGCGAAAGCCUGACGCAGCAACGCCGCGUGCGGGAUGAAGGCCUUCGGGCUGUAAACCGCUUUCAGCAGGAACGAAAAUGACGGUACCUGCAGAAGAAGGAGCGGCCAACUACGUGCCAGCAGCCGCGGUGACACGUAGGCUCCAAGCGUUGUCCGGAUUUAUUGGGCGUAAAGAGCUCGUAGGCGGUCUAAUAAGUCGGGUGUGAAAACUCUGGGCUCAACCCGGAGACGCCAUCCGAUACUGUUAUGACUUGAGUUCAGGAGGGGAGCGGGGAAUUCCUAGUGUAGCGGUGAAAUGCGCAGAUAUUAGGAGGAACACCGGUGGCGAAGGCGCCGCUCUGGACUGAAACUGACGCUGAGGAGCGAAAGCAUGGGUAGCAAACAGGAUUAGAUACCCUGGUAGUCCAUGCCGUAAACGGUGGGCACUAGGUGUGGGUUUCAACUAACGAAAUCCGCGCCGUCGCUAACGCAUUAAGUGCCCCGCCUGGGGGAGGUACGGUCGCGAGAACUAAACGUUAAACGGUAAGUUAGACGGCGUGAGACGUCGCCGAACGGACGACCGACCGAGGGAGGUAGG